AGUGGCGAACGGGUGAGUNACACGUAAGAAUCUACCCUUUGGUCUGGGACUACAUCGCGAGGGUGGUGCUAAUACCGGAUUAUAUCCACGGAUCAAAGAGGGCUUUGCCCUCACCAGAGGAGGAGCUUGCGCCCCAUUAGCUAGUUGGUGAGGUAAUGGCUCACCAAUGCUCCGAUGGGUAGCCGGUCUGAGAGGGUGUACGGCCACACUGGAACUGAGACACGGUCCAGACUCCUACGGGAGGCAGCAGUGGGGAAUAUUGGUCAAUGGGCGAAAGCCUGAAGGAGCAAUGCCGUGUGGGUGAUGAAGCUUCUAGGAGUGUAAAACCCUUUUAUGAGGGAAGAACGAAAUGCGGUUAAUAUCUGUAUUUCUUGACGGUACCUCAUGAAUAAGCCCCGGCUAACUCCGUGCCAGCAGCCGCGGUAACACGGAGGGGGCAAGCGUUGUUCGGAAUUACUGGGCGUAAAGGGCGUGUAGGCGGCCUAGCAGGUCAGAUGUGAAAUCCCCGGGCUCAACUCGGGAACUGCGUUUGAAACCGUCAGGCUUGAGGCUAGGAGAGGAAAGCGGAAUUCGUGGUGUAGCGGUGAAAUGCGUAGAUAUCAGGAGGAACACCGGUGGCGAAAGCGGCUUUCUGGACUAGUUCUGACGCUGAGGCGCGAAAGCGUGGGGAGCGAACGGGAUUUGAUACCCCGGUAGUCCACGCUGUAAACGAUGAAGACUAGGUGUAGCGGGUA
RNAcentral lists this ribosomal RNA (734 nucleotides) under uncultured organism. Its description in RNAcentral is "bacterial SSU rRNA". It matches the Rfam family "Bacterial small subunit ribosomal RNA", at positions 94 to 831 of the family's 1533-position model. The record is from RNAcentral.